ACCUGUGGCCAUACUACCCUGAACUUACCUGAUCUCAUCAGACCUCAGAAGCUAAGCAGGGUAGUGCUUGGCUAGCACUUAGAUGGGAAAAUGAUUAAGUGAUCGAUGGCAUACAGCCA
Molecule: non-coding RNA, 119 nt
Organism: Pongo abelii (Sumatran orangutan)
Lineage: Eukaryota; Metazoa; Chordata; Mammalia; Primates; Hominidae
Source: Rfam